RNAcentral lists this small RNA (476 nucleotides) under Arabidopsis thaliana (thale cress). RNAcentral's name for it is "ATSL195140". Lineage: Eukaryota; Viridiplantae; Streptophyta; Magnoliopsida; Brassicales; Brassicaceae. The record is from RNAcentral.
AAUAAAGUAAAACUCAAAAAAACAAACAUAUUUUCUCUAAUAAUAGCCUUGUUAUUAAUUAUUAUUAUUUUUAACCAAAGGUUAUAAAUAAAUUUAUAAUCAUCCAAAAAGAACUUUGAAUUAUAUUUAUUUUGAAUUAAAAUUAGAUUUUCUUAAAAAAAGCUAUGAAUACAAAUGAGUUGUAGGUGAUAUAAAAUAUAAAUGGGAGAUGAAAUCAUUUUUCUUAUAGAAAUGGAGUUACAUUGUAGAAUCGUUGUUUGUGGAAAAUGUUCAUCAUAUUUGUAUAGAGUACUGCAAGUAGAUGUGUCCAAAUAGUUAAUCAUAUUAUUGGUAAAGGUAAGGCUAAAGAUUGUGGAACCUUGUUUUUCGUAAAAUUUAUGAAGGUUGUUUUUGUGGGGAAAAUAUGGUAUGAUGAUGAUGAUGAUGACGGUGGCGUUAAUAAUAUGAUGAUAUGAUAGUAUGAAGAUAAUUAUGAU